GCACUCGUAGCUCAGUAGGAUAGAGCGUCCCCCUCCUAAGGGGAAGGCCGGGGGUUCGAUUCCUCUCGAGUGCGCCA
This 77-nucleotide transfer RNA is filed under the name Clostridium tepidiprofundi DSM 19306. Its description in RNAcentral is "tRNA-Arg". It matches the Rfam family "tRNA". Rfam says of the family: Transfer RNA (tRNA) molecules are approximately 80 nucleotides in length. Their secondary structure includes four short double-helical elements and three loops (D, anti-codon, and T loops). Lineage: Bacteria; Bacillati; Bacillota; Clostridia; Eubacteriales; Clostridiaceae. The record is from RNAcentral.